Long non-coding RNA from Helianthus annuus (common sunflower), 134 nucleotides. RefSeq lists it as uncharacterized. Lineage: Eukaryota; Viridiplantae; Streptophyta; Magnoliopsida; Asterales; Asteraceae. The transcript is spliced from 3 exons. The record is from RefSeq and is a predicted model, not a curated record.
GGUUGCUGGACUUGCCAUUGUUUCUGUUAUUUGUUUUACCUCAAGUGCUGUAUCAUUGUGAUUGGCGGAGCUUUAGAGGGAUCUAUGUCUCUCUUCUACUGAUCGUAUACUAUUUUAUAGGUUCAUCUGUACCU